RNAcentral lists this ribosomal RNA (397 nucleotides) under uncultured bacterium. Its description in RNAcentral is "bacterial SSU rRNA". It matches the Rfam family "Bacterial small subunit ribosomal RNA", at positions 30 to 419 of the family's 1533-position model. The record is from RNAcentral.
AUUGAACGCUGGCGGCAUGCUUUACACAUGCAAGUCGAACGGCAGCGCGAAGAAAGCUUGCUUUCUUUGGCGGCGAGUGGCGAACGGGUGAGUAAUACAUCGGAACGUGCCCUGUAGUGGGGGAUAACUACUCGAAAGAGUAGCUAAUACCGCAUACAACCUGAGGGUAAAAGUGGGGGACCGCAAGGCCUCAUGCUAUAGGAGCGGCCGAUGGAAGAUUAGCUAGUUGGUAGGGUAAAGGCCUACCAAGGCGACGAUCUUUAGCGGGUCUGAGAGGACGAUCCGCCACACUGGGACUGAGACACGGCCCAGACUCCUACGGGAGGCAGCAGUGGGGAAUUUUGGACAAUGGGGGCAACCCUGAUCCAGCAAUGCCGCGUGAGUGAAGAAGGCCUGG